This 2905-nucleotide ribosomal RNA is filed under the name Yersinia enterocolitica. RNAcentral's name for it is "bacterial LSU rRNA". It matches the Rfam family "Bacterial large subunit ribosomal RNA". Lineage: Bacteria; Pseudomonadati; Pseudomonadota; Gammaproteobacteria; Enterobacterales; Yersiniaceae. The record is from RNAcentral.
UUAAGCGACUAAGCGUACACGGUGGAUGCCUAGGCAGUCAGAGGCGAUGAAGGGCGUGCUAAUCUGCGAAAAGCGUCGGUAAGGUGAUAUGAACCGUUAUAACCGACGAUACCCGAAUGGGGAAACCCAGUGCAAUUCGUUGCACUAUUGCAUGGUGAAUACAUAGCCAUGCAAGGCGAACCGGGGGAACUGAAACAUCUAAGUACCCCGAGGAAAAGAAAUCAACCGAGAUUCCCCCAGUAGCGGCGAGCGAACGGGGAGGAGCCCAGAACCUGAAUCAGCAUAUGUGUUAGUGGAAGCGUCUGGAAAGUCGCACGGUACAGGGUGAUAGUCCCGUACACAAAAAUGCAUAUGUUGUGAGUUCGAUGAGUAGGGCGGGACACGUGACAUCCUGUCUGAAUAUGGGGGGACCAUCCUCCAAGGCUAAAUACUCCUGACUGACCGAUAGUGAACCAGUACCGUGAGGGAAAGGCGAAAAGAACCCCGGCGAGGGGAGUGAAAUAGAACCUGAAACCGUGUACGUACAAGCAGUGGGAGCACCUUCGUGGUGUGACUGCGUACCUUUUGUAUAAUGGGUCAGCGACUUAUAUUUUGUAGCAAGGUUAACCGAAUAGGGGAGCCGUAGGGAAACCGAGUCUUAACUGGGCGAAUAGUUGCAAGGUAUAGACCCGAAACCCGGUGAUCUAGCCAUGGGCAGGUUGAAGGUUGGGUAACACUAACUGGAGGACCGAACCGACUAAUGUUGAAAAAUUAGCGGAUGACUUGUGGCUGGGGGUGAAAGGCCAAUCAAACCGGGAGAUAGCUGGUUCUCCCCGAAAGCUAUUUAGGUAGCGCCUCGUGAACUCAUCUUCGGGGGUAGAGCACUGUUUCGGCUAGGGGGUCAUCCCGACUUACCAAACCGAUGCAAACUCCGAAUACCGAAGAAUGUUAUCACGGGAGACACACGGCGGGUGCUAACGUCCGUCGUGAAGAGGGAAACAACCCAGACCGCCAGCUAAGGUCCCAAAGUCAUGGUUAAGUGGGAAACGAUGUGGGAAGGCAUAGACAGCCAGGAUGUUGGCUUAGAAGCAGCCAUCAUUUAAAGAAAGCGUAAUAGCUCACUGGUCGAGUCGGCCUGCGCGGAAGAUGUAACGGGGCUAAACCAUGCACCGAAGCUGCGGCAGCGACACUUAGGUGUUGUUGGGUAGGGGAGCGUUCUGUAAGCCGUUGAAGGUGACCUGUGAGGGUUGCUGGAGGUAUCAGAAGUGCGAAUGCUGACAUAAGUAACGAUAAUGCGGGUGAAAAACCCGCACGCCGGAAGACCAAGGGUUCCUGUCCAACGUUAAUCGGGGCAGGGUGAGUCGACCCCUAAGGCGAGGCUGAAAAGCGUAGUCGAUGGGAAACAGGUUAAUAUUCCUGUACUUGGUGUUACUGCGAAGGGGGGACGGAGAAGGCUAGGCUAGCCGGGCGACGGUUGUCCCGGUUUAAGCAUGUAGGCGGAGUGACUUGGUAAAUCCGGUUGCUUAUCAACGCUGAGGUGUGAUGACGAGCCACUACGGUGGUGAAGUAGUUGAUGCCAAGCUUCCAGGAAAAGCCUCUAAGCAUCAGGUAACAUUAAAUCGUACCCCAAACCGACACAGGUGGUCAGGUAGAGAAUACUCAGGCGCUUGAGAGAACUCGGGUGAAGGAACUAGGCAAAAUGGUGCCGUAACUUCGGGAGAAGGCACGCUGGCAUUAGGUAAAGGGACUUGCUCCCGGAGCUGAAGCCAGUCGCAGAUACCAGCUGGCUGCAACUGUUUAAUAAAAACACAGCACUGUGCAAACACGAAAGUGGACGUAUACGGUGUGACGCCUGCCCGGUGCUGGAAGGUUAAUUGAUGGGGUCAGCCGCAAGGCGAAGCUCUUGAUCGAAGCCCCAGUAAACGGCGGCCGUAACUAUAACGGUCCUAAGGUAGCGAAAUUCCUUGUCGGGUAAGUUCCGACCUGCACGAAUGGCGUAAUGAUGGCCAGGCUGUCUCCACCCGAGACUCAGUGAAAUUGAACUCGCUGUGAAGAUGCAGUGUACCCGCGGCAAGACGGAAAGACCCCGUGAACCUUUACUAUAGCUUGACACUGAACAUUGAGCCUUGAUGUGUAGGAUAGGUGGGAGGCAUUGAAGUGUGGACGCCAGUCUGCAUGGAGCCAACCUUGAAAUACCACCCUUUAAUGUUUGAUGUUCUAACUCGGCCCCGUGAUCCGGGGUGAGGACAGUGUCUGGUGGGUAGUUUGACUGGGGCGGUCUCCUCCCAAAGAGUAACGGAGGAGCACGAAGGUUAGCUAAUCACGGUCGGACAUCGUGAGGUUAGUGCAAAGGCAUAAGCUAGCUUGACUGCGAGAGUGACGGCUCGAGCAGGUACGAAAGUAGGUCUUAGUGAUCCGGUGGUUCUGAAUGGAAGGGCCAUCGCUCAACGGAUAAAAGGUACUCCGGGGAUAACAGGCUGAUACCGCCCAAGAGUUCAUAUCGACGGCGGUGUUUGGCACCUCGAUGUCGGCUCAUCACAUCCUGGGGCUGAAGUAGGUCCCAAGGGUAUGGCUGUUCGCCAUUUAAAGUGGUACGCGAGCUGGGUUUAGAACGUCGUGAGACAGUUCGGUCCCUAUCUGCCGUGGGCGUUGGAAGAUUGAGAGGGGCUGCUCCUAGUACGAGAGGACCGGAGUGGACGAAUCACUGGUGUUCGGGUUGUCAUGCCAAUGGCAUUGCCCGGUAGCUAAAUUCGGAAGAGAUAACCGCUGAAAGCAUCUAAGCGGGAAACUUGCCUCGAGAUGAGUCUUCCCUGGGGCUUUAAGCCCCCUGAAGGAACGUUAAAGACUAUGACGUUGAUAGGCUGGGUGUGUAAGUGCAGCGAUGCAUUGAGCUAACCAGUACUAAUGAUCCGUGAGGCUUAACCUU